CAAGUCGUAACAAGGUUUCCGUAGGUGAACCUGCGGAAGGAUCAUUAAAAAAUGAAUACGAGGUCAUGAAAUCUCAGACCCCUCCUGCGUACUUGUUCAUGUUGCUUCCGCGAGUUGGAUGUGUGUGUAUUACAUACCAGCCAGCGUCCCUUCUGGAGGGUAGCGUGCUCGCGGAAGGUAUUCCAAACCUCGCUUUCAUUGUGUAGUCUGAACUAUUGUUAUCAUUGAAAACAUCAAAACUUUCAACAACGGAUCUCUUGGUUCUCGCAUCGAUGAAGAGCGCAGCGAAAUGCGAUAAGUAGUGUGAAUUGCAGAAUUCCGUGAAUCAUCGAGUUCUUGAACGCAUAUUGUGCCUCUUGGUAUUCCAGGGGGCAUGCCUGUUCGAGCGUCAUCGAAAACCCAUCGGUAUGAUUGGUGUUGAAAAUUCACCAUUUCUCCGGUAUUGAACUUGGGGCAACGACACACGGUGCCCCUGUUCGAAAUGCAAUGGCUUGAGUGUCUCCUUGACGAGUGUAAUAUGUUCCAAAAAUCACUCAAUUGGGUUGAUGUCCAACGCAUGAUAGCUUUCCACUUCACUUUUUAUGACCUCGGAUCAGGUAAGGAUACCCGCUGAACUUAA
Molecule: small RNA, 619 nt
Filed under: uncultured Pyronemataceae
Lineage: Eukaryota; Fungi; Ascomycota; Pezizomycetes; Pezizales; Pyronemataceae
Description: eukaryotic LSU rRNA
Rfam family: 5.8S ribosomal RNA (bases 238-391)
Source: RNAcentral